RNAcentral lists this microRNA precursor (95 nucleotides) under Paramuricea clavata. The record is from RNAcentral. Lineage: Eukaryota; Metazoa; Cnidaria; Anthozoa; Malacalcyonacea; Plexauridae.
CAUACCCCUGUUGGCCUUGGUCAACAGGGGUGCAUACCCCUGUUGGCCUUGGUCAACAGGGGUGCAUACCCCUGUUGGCCUUGGUCAACAGGGGU